GGAGAGGUGGGUGAGUGGCUUAAACCAGCGGUUUGCUAAACCGCCGUAGGGGCUUAAACCUCUACCGAGAGUUCAAAUCUCUCCCUCUCCGCCA
This 94-nucleotide transfer RNA is filed under the name Ignavibacteriota bacterium. Its description in RNAcentral is "Ignavibacteriae bacterium (groundwater metagenome) tRNA-Ser". It matches the Rfam family "tRNA". Rfam says of the family: Transfer RNA (tRNA) molecules are approximately 80 nucleotides in length. Their secondary structure includes four short double-helical elements and three loops (D, anti-codon, and T loops). The record is from RNAcentral. Lineage: Bacteria; Pseudomonadati; Ignavibacteriota.